ACCCUCCUGAUUCCAUACCCAUUAGAUCUGAACAUUGGUCUCAGUGCUUAUAAAAAGAGGAAAAGAAAAAUUGAAAGUGACUUCGUUUCUUUUAUGAUACGCGAGCUAGUUACAAACAAGC
Echinops telfairi (small Madagascar hedgehog) is the source of this 121-nucleotide small nucleolar RNA. Lineage: Eukaryota; Metazoa; Chordata; Mammalia; Afrosoricida; Tenrecidae. The record is from Ensembl.